Molecule: long non-coding RNA, 665 nt
Filed under: Triticum aestivum (bread wheat)
Lineage: Eukaryota; Viridiplantae; Streptophyta; Magnoliopsida; Poales; Poaceae
Description: long non-coding RNA (TAES_LNC000155)
Source: RNAcentral
ACAUACUCUCCAAUCAUUCUCGAUUCUGUUUCUUUAGGGGAAAUCUCGAUCCUGUUAAUAAGCACAAAUAAGUACCACUGUUGCAUCAGAUUAUCUUGAUGGCCAAGUACAUUACUGCGCCAGUCCUACUUUCUCAACUUCUUAUCGUAUGCCUGGCUACUACAACACAAUGUAAGCGUUCGAUACACAACUCUAAUUUCGACAAUCUCUCUUUACAGUAUGUGCAUGCAUAGGUUAAUUGUGCUCGAAUCAUAAUUCAAUUUCCUAUUUCUGUUGGGAGUAGGUAUUUCGUUAGAGCAUGAAGACUACGUUUUCUUCUUGUGGCAUCUGCUUUUCUUUAUUAAUUAACGUGAAAUCAGACUAAUUGCAAUCGGUUGUCUGUACAUUUUUCCGUAGGUCGACUCAUCGACGGCAUGGAUAAUGAUAAGAUCAAUUUACCAGGCGGGUUGUGCAUCUACGACAAAGACGUUGGUGGAUAUUGUUGCCUUGUGACGAAUUUGUGCUAUAGGACACAAGAUAUUUGCCUUGGAAUAUGCAAAAAAUCAGCCCCUCUUCUCCCUCUGCUCCCAACAAAUUGACCUUUCGUUAGAAGAAAUCAUAUGUGAUGUGGAUGUAAUAUUUUUUAAUAAAAAGUAGCAUGGCAAAUGAACUAUGAUACUUGGUUU